This 587-nucleotide ribosomal RNA is filed under the name uncultured haloarchaeon. RNAcentral's name for it is "bacterial SSU rRNA". It matches the Rfam family "Archaeal small subunit ribosomal RNA", at positions 335 to 921 of the family's 1478-position model. The record is from RNAcentral. Lineage: Archaea; Methanobacteriati; Methanobacteriota; Halobacteria; Halobacteriales; Halobacteriaceae.
GCAGGCGCGAAACCUUUACACUGCACGACAGUGCGAUAGGGGGAUCCCAAGUGCACAGGCAUAGCGCCUGUGCUUUUCGGUACCCUAAGGCGGUACCAGAAUAAGGGCUGGGCAAGACCGGUGCCAGCCGCCGCGGUAAUACCGGCAGCCCAAGUGAUGGCCGAUCUUAUUGGGCCUAAAGCGUCCGUAGCUGGCCGUACAAGUCCAUCGGGAAAUCCACCUGCUCAACAGGUGGGCGCCCGGUAGAAACUGUGCGGCUUGGGACCGGAAGGCGCGACGGGUACGUCCGGGGUAGGAGUGAAAUCCCGUAAUCCUGGACGGACCGCCGAUGGCGAAAGCACGUCGCGAGAACGGAUCCGACAGUGAGGGACGAAAGCCAGGGUCUCGAACCGGGUUAGAUACCCGGGUAGUCCUGGCCGUAAACAAUGUCUGCUAGGUGUGGCUCCCACUACGAGUGGGUGCUGUGCCGUAGGGAAGCCGCUAAGCAGACCGCCUGGGAAGUACGUCCGCAAGGAUGAAACUUAAAGGAAUUGGCGGGGGAGCACUACAACCGGAGGAGCCUGCGGUUUAAUUGGAUUCAACGCCGG